UACGUAGGGUGCGGGCGUUGUCCGGAAUUAUUGGGCGUAAAGAGCUCGUAGGCGGCUUGUCGCGUCGGCUGUGAAAACCUGGGGCUCAACUCCGGGCCUGCAGCCGAUACGGGCAAGCUAGAGUUCGGUAGGGGAGACUGGAAUUCCUGGUGUAGCGGUGAAAUGCGCAGAUAUCAGGAGGAACACCGGUGGCGAAGGCGGGUCUCUGGACAGUUCCUGACACUGAGGCACGAAGGCCAGGGGAGCAAACGGG
Molecule: ribosomal RNA, 253 nt
Filed under: uncultured bacterium
Lineage: Bacteria
Description: partial 16S ribosomal RNA
Rfam family: Bacterial small subunit ribosomal RNA
Source: RNAcentral